AAGCAGUUAAGUUGAUUUCUUCGGAUUGAUUCUUAACUGACUGAGCGGCGGACGGGUGAGUAACGCGUGGGUGACCUGCCCCAUACCGGGGGAUAACAGCUGGAAACGGCUGCUAAUACCGCAUAAGCGCACAGGACCGCAUGGUCCGGUGUGAAAAACUCCGGUGGUGUGAGAUGGACCCGCGUUUGAUUAGGUAGUUGGUGGGGUAACGGCCUACCAAGCCGACGAUCAGUAGCCGACCUGAGAGGGUGACCGGCCACAUUGGGACUGAGACACGGCCCAAACUCC
Molecule: ribosomal RNA, 288 nt
Filed under: uncultured Eubacteriales bacterium
Lineage: Bacteria; Bacillati; Bacillota; Clostridia; Eubacteriales
Also listed under: 1 other name
Description: uncultured Clostridiales bacterium partial 16S ribosomal RNA
Rfam family: Bacterial small subunit ribosomal RNA
Source: RNAcentral